GAAUUUUCACCUAAAUGUUCCGAACUUCGUUCCAAAGUUGGCAAAUUUGUUGCAAAAUUCGAAAGUUGCCAAGAUUUGUUGCGAAGUUCAAAAGAAAUCAUAUUCACAAACCGGUUUGUAAACUAAGCCUUUGGUUGGCUUCUUUUAUUUCUGGACCAAUCAGGGACAUACAAAUCAGCUUGCCGAAUUUUAAUAUGAACUUUCGAACUUUGCAACAAAUUGGCCAACUUCAAAACGAAGCUUGGAACAUUUACGUGAAAAGUC
Molecule: non-coding RNA, 264 nt
Organism: Paramuricea clavata
Lineage: Eukaryota; Metazoa; Cnidaria; Anthozoa; Malacalcyonacea; Plexauridae
Source: the annotation of a GenBank genome assembly